AAAAACUGAGGUGGUGUAAGAUGGACCCGCGUCUGAUUAGCUGGUUGGUGAGGUAACGGCCCACCAAGGCGACGAUCAGUAGCCGGCCUGAGAGGGUGGACGGCCACAUUGGGACUGAGACACGGCCCAAACUCCUACGGGAGGCAGCAGUGGGGGAUAUUGGACAAUGGGGGGAACCCUGAUCCAGCGACGCCGCGUGAGUGAAGAAGUAUCUCGGUAUGUAAAGCUCUAUCAGCAGGGAAGAAGAAAUGACGGUACCUGAGUAAGAAGCCCCGGCUAACUACGUGCCAGCAGCCGCGGUAAUACGUAGGGGGCAAGCGUUAUCCGGAAUUACUGGGUGUAAAGGGAGCGUAGACGGUGAUGUAAGUCUGGAGUGAAAGGCGGGGGCCCAACCCCCGGACUGCUCUGGAAACUAUGUGACUGGAGUGCAGGAGAGGUGAGCGGAAUUCCUAGUGUAGCGGUGAAAUGCGUAGAUAUUAGGAGGAACACCAGUGGCGAAGGCGGCUCACUGGACUGUAACUGACGUUGAGGCUCGAAAGCGUGGGGAGCAAACAGGAUUAGAUACCCUGGUAGUCCACGCCGUAAACGAUGAUCACUAGGUGUGGGUGGGUAUGGACCCAUCG
RNAcentral lists this ribosomal RNA (623 nucleotides) under uncultured bacterium. Its description in RNAcentral is "bacterial SSU rRNA". It matches the Rfam family "Bacterial small subunit ribosomal RNA", at positions 202 to 842 of the family's 1533-position model. The record is from RNAcentral.